GCACUGCUGAGGAGUGCCAUACUAGGACGAAACGGCCGUCUAGUGC
RNAcentral lists this non-coding RNA (46 nucleotides) under Schistosoma mattheei. The record is from RNAcentral. Lineage: Eukaryota; Metazoa; Platyhelminthes; Trematoda; Strigeidida; Schistosomatidae.